Molecule: ribosomal RNA, 379 nt
Filed under: uncultured eukaryote
Lineage: Eukaryota
Description: partial 18S ribosomal RNA
Rfam family: Eukaryotic small subunit ribosomal RNA
Source: RNAcentral
CAAUAGCGUAUAUUAAAGUUGUUGCGGUUAAAAAGCUCGUAGUUGGAUUUCUGCCGAGGACGACCGGUCCGCCCUCUGGGUGAGUAUCUGGCUCGGCCUGGGCAUCUUCUUGGAGAACGUAGCUGCACUUGACUGUGUGGUGCGGUAUCCAGGACUUUUACUUUGAGGAAAUUAGAGUGUUUCAAGCAGGCUUACGCCUUGAAUACAUUAGCAUGGAAUAAUAAGAUAGGACCUCGGUUCUAUUUUGUUGGUUUCUAGAGCUGAGGUAAUGAUUAAUAGGGAUAGUUGGGGGCAUUCGUAUUUAACUGUCAGAGGUGAAAUUCUUGGAUUUGUUAGAGACGGACUACUGCGAAAGCAUUUGCCAAGGAUGUUUUCAUUG